UGGAAGUAAAAGUCGUACAAGGUUUCCGUAGGUGAACCUGCGGAAGGAUCAUUAGUGAAUCUAGGACGUCCAACUUAACUUGGAGUCCGAACUCUCACUUUCUAACCCUGUGCGUCCGUUUUAAAAUUGGCUAGUAGCUCUUCGGAGUGAACCACCAUUUUUCACUUAUACAAACACAAAGUCUAUGAAUGUAAGCAAAUUUAUAACAAAACAAAACUUUCAACAACGGAUCUCUUGGCUCUCGCAUCGAUGAAGAACGCAGCGAAAUGCGAUACGUAAUGUGAAUUGCAGAAUUCAGUGAAUCAUCGAAUCUUUGAACGCACCUUGCGCUCCUUGGUAUUCCGAGGAGCAUGCCUGUUUGAGUGUCAUGAAAUCUUCAACCCACCUCUUUCUUAGUGAAUCUGGUGGUGCUCGGUUUCUGAGCGCUGCUCUGCUUCGGCUUAGCUCGUUCGUAAUGCAUUAGCAUCCGCAACCGAAACUUCGGAUUGACUUGGCGUAAUAGACUAUUCGCUGAGGAUUCCAGACUUGUUCUGGAGCCGAGUUGGGUUAAAGGAAGCUUCUAAUCCUAAAGUCUAUUUUUUGAUUAGAUCUCAAAUCAGGUAGGACUACCCGCUGAACUUAAGCAUAUCAAUAAGCGGAGGA
RNAcentral lists this ribosomal RNA (642 nucleotides) under uncultured fungus. RNAcentral describes it as "eukaryotic LSU rRNA". The stretch from base 215 to 368 matches the Rfam family "5.8S ribosomal RNA". Lineage: Eukaryota; Fungi. The record is from RNAcentral.